RNAcentral lists this ribosomal RNA (507 nucleotides) under uncultured bacterium. RNAcentral describes it as "partial 16S ribosomal RNA". The record is from RNAcentral.
GGAGUUAGCCGGUGCUUCUUCUGUGAGUGAUGUCCUUCCUGCCGGCUAUUAACCCGCAGGCCUUCUUCCUCACUGAAAGUGCUUUACAACCCGAAGGCCUUCUUCACACACGCGGCAUGGCUGGAUCAGGGUUGCCCCCAUUGUCCAAUAUUCCCCACUGCUGCCUCCCGUAGGAGUCUGGGCCGUGUCUCAGUCCCAGUGUGGCUGAUCAUCCUCUCAGACCAGCUACGGAUCGUCGCCUUGGUGAGCCGUUACCUCACCAACCAGCUAAUCCGACAUAGGCUCAUCCGAUAGCGCGAGGCCCGAAGGUCCCCCGCUUUCCCCCGUAGGGCGUAUGCGGUAUUAGCCUGGGUUUCCCCAGGUUAUCCCCCACUACCGGGCAGAUUCCUAUGCAUUACUCACCCGUCCGCCGCUCGCCACCAGGGAGCAAGCUCCCCGUGCUGCCGCUCGACUUGCAUGUGUUAUGCCUGCCGCCAGCGUUCAAUCUGAGCCAUAAUCAAACUCUGA